AGAGUUUGAUCCUGGCUCAGAACGAACGCUGGCGGCAGGCCUAACACAUGCAAGUCGAACGCCCUAGCAAUAGGGAGUGGCAGACGGGUGAGUAACGCGUGGGAACCUUCCCUAUAGUACGGAAUAUACCAGGGAAACUUGGAGCAAUACCGUAUACGCCCGAAAGGGGAAAGAUUUAUCGCUAUAGGAUGGGCCCGCGUAGGAUUAGCUAGUUGGUGAGGUAAUGGCUCACCAAGGCGACGAUCCUUAGCUGGUCUGAGAGGAUGAUCAGCCACACUGGGACUGAGACACGGCCCAGACUCCUACGGGAGGCAGCAGUGGGGAAUAUUGGGCAAUGGGCGCAAGCCGGACCCAGCCAUGCCGCGUGAGUGACGAAGGCCUUAGGGUUGUAAAGCUCUUUUGGCGGGGACGAUAAUGACGGUACCCGCAGAAUAAGCCCCGGCUAANUUNGNGCCAGCCGCCGCGGUAAUAC
This 472-nucleotide ribosomal RNA is filed under the name uncultured soil bacterium. Its description in RNAcentral is "bacterial SSU rRNA". It matches the Rfam family "Bacterial small subunit ribosomal RNA", at positions 8 to 526 of the family's 1533-position model. The record is from RNAcentral.